RNAcentral lists this ribosomal RNA (253 nucleotides) under uncultured bacterium. RNAcentral describes it as "partial 16S ribosomal RNA". It matches the Rfam family "Bacterial small subunit ribosomal RNA", at positions 524 to 776 of the family's 1533-position model. The record is from RNAcentral.
UACAGAGGUCCCGAGCGUUGUUCGGAUUCCCUGGGCGUAAAGGGUGCGCAGGUGGGCUGGUAAGUUCGAUGUGAAAGCCCCGGGCUUAACCCGGGAAAGGCAUUGGAUACUACUGGUCUGGAGGAUUGGAGGGGGGACUGGAAUUCUUGGUGUAGCAGUGAAAUGCGUAGAUAUCAAGAGGAACACCGAUGGCGAAGGCAGGGCUCUGGGCUGACACUGACGCUCAUGCACGAAAGCGUGGGGAGCAAACAGG